UCCAAUUUCACUAUAGCCAAUUCUACCCAAUUCUCUUAACAUGUUAAUCCUAAUUAAUCUCCAUGUUGACAGUCAAUUUCUUCUACUUUAUUCGAUACUCCAUCCCUGGUUAUACCAAAAGUAUCCUGUUUACCAACUCACUCUAUCCCUAGUAGUGAAAUUAAGAUAAUAAGAACCCAUUAAGUUCCUAGGAAAACAUGCAAAACAACCACAUAUGU
Molecule: long non-coding RNA, 218 nt
Filed under: Prunus dulcis (almond)
Lineage: Eukaryota; Viridiplantae; Streptophyta; Magnoliopsida; Rosales; Rosaceae
Description: sRNA ncRNA
Source: RNAcentral